UUUUAACUCAAGUGGCGGACGGGUGAGUAACACGUGAGAAUUUGCCUUUAGGAGGGGGAUAACAGAGUGAAAACGCUGCUAAUACCCCAUAUGCUUUCGAGUGAAAUGGAUUUAUUCGCCUAAAGAGAAGCUCGCGGCUGAUUAGCUUGUUGGUAAGGUAAUGGCUUACCAAGGCGACGAUCAGUAUCUGGUUUGAGAGGACGAUCAGACACACUGGAACUGAGACACGGUCCAGACUCCUACGGGAGGCAGCAGUGGGGAAUUUUCCGCAAUGGGCGAAAGCCUGACGGAGCAAUACCGCGUGAGGGAUGACUGCCUAUGGGUUGUAAACCUCUUUUCUCAGGGAGGAAAUCAAUGACGUUACCUGAGGAAUAAGCAUCGGCUAACUCCGUGCCAGCAGCCGCGGUAAGACGGAGGAUGCAAGUGUUAUCCGGAAUCACUGGGCGUAAAGCGUCUGUAGGUGGCUUAACAAGUCAACUGUUAAAUCUUGAAGCUCAACUUCGAAAUCGCAGUC
Molecule: ribosomal RNA, 514 nt
Filed under: uncultured Arcocellulus
Lineage: Eukaryota; Bacillariophyta; Thalassiosirophyceae; Cymatosirales; Cymatosiraceae
Description: bacterial SSU rRNA
Rfam family: Bacterial small subunit ribosomal RNA
Source: RNAcentral